CCCACCGGAACUUGCUCCACCGGGAAAAGAGGAGUGGAGAAAGGGUGAGUAACACGUGGGUAACCUGCCCAUCACAAGGGGAUAACACUUGGAAACAGGUGCUAAUACCGUAUAACAAUCGAAACCGCAUGGUUUCGUUUUGAAAGGCGCUUUACAGUGCCGCUGAUGGAUGGACCCGCGGUGCAUUAGCUAGUUGGUGAGGUAACGGCUCACCAAGGCCACGAUGCAUAGCCGACCUGAG
This 241-nucleotide ribosomal RNA is filed under the name Enterococcus mundtii. Its description in RNAcentral is "partial 16S ribosomal RNA". The stretch from base 39 to 241 matches the Rfam family "Bacterial small subunit ribosomal RNA", at positions 100 to 296 of the family's 1533-position model. Lineage: Bacteria; Bacillati; Bacillota; Bacilli; Lactobacillales; Enterococcaceae. The record is from RNAcentral.